RNAcentral lists this ribosomal RNA (383 nucleotides) under Schenella simplex. RNAcentral describes it as "SSU rRNA". It matches the Rfam family "Bacterial small subunit ribosomal RNA", at positions 502 to 883 of the family's 1533-position model. The record is from RNAcentral. Lineage: Eukaryota; Fungi; Basidiomycota; Agaricomycetes; Geastrales; Geastraceae.
CUGGUGCCAGAAGACUCGGUAAGGCCAGAGACGCAAGCGUUAGUCAUCUUGAUCAGGCGUAAAGGGUCUGUAGGCUGCUUUAAAAUAUAAAAAAAUCUUAAUGGUCUUUUUAUAGAAAUAAUUAAAGCUAGAAUCAAAUAGAGGUCACGAAUUUAAAAAUAUGAGACAAUUCCUAAUGGAGGGUCGACAUCUGUAGAUAUUAGGAGGAGUACUAAUUAGCGGAAGCUCUUUUCCAUCUAAUGAUUGACGCUGAGAGACGAAGGGGAGGACAGAAAAUAGGAUUAGAUACCCUAGUAUCCCUCCCUGUAAACGAUGAAUGGUAGUUGCUAGAUAUAAUUUAGUGGCGAUGCUAACCGCGUUAACCCAUUCCGCCUUGUGAGUAC